UAGAGUUUGAUCCUGGCUCAGAUUGAACGCUGGCGGCAGGCUUAACACAUGCAAGUCGAGCGGGGGAGAUUACUUCGGUAAUUGACCUAGCGGCGGACGGGUGUAGUAAUACUUAGGAAUCUGCCUAUUAAUGGGGGACAACAUCUCGAAAGGGAUGCUAAUACCGCAUACGCCCUACGGGGGAAAGCAGGGGAUCACUUGUGACCUUGCGUUAAUAGAUGAGCCUAAGUCGGAUUAGCUAGUUGGUGGGGUAAAGGCCUACCAAGGCGACGAUCUGUAGCGGGUCUGAGAGGAUGAUCCGCCACACUGGGACUGAGACACGGCCCAGACUCCUACGGGAGGCAGCAGUGGGGAAUAUUGGACAAUGGGGGGAACCCUGAUCCAGCCAUGCCGCGUGUGUGAAGAAGGCCUUAUGGUUGUAAAGCACUUUAAGCGAGGAGGAGGCUCUUCUAGUUAAUACCUAGGAUGAGUGGACGUUACUCGCAGAAUAAGCACCGGCUAACUCUGUGCCAGCAGCCGCGGUAAUACAGAGGGUGCGAGCGUUAAUCGGAUUUACUGGGCGUAAAGCGUGCGUAGGCGGCUUUUUAAGUCGGAUGUGAAAUCCCCGAGCUUAACUUGGGAAUUGCAUUCGAUACUGGGAAGCUAGAGUAUGGGAGAGGAUGGUAGAAUUCCAGGUGUAGCGGUGAAAUGCGUAGAGAUCUGGAGGAAUACCGAUGGCGAAGGCAGCCAUCUGGCCUAAUACUGACGCUGAGNUACGAAAGCAUGGGGAGCAAACAGGAUUAGAUACCCUGGUAGUCCAUGCCGUAAACGAUGUCUACUAGCCGUUGGGGCCUUUGAGGCUUUAGUGGCGCAGCUAACGCGAUAAGUAGACCGCCUGGGGAGUACGGUCGCAAGACUAAAACUCAAAUGAAUUGACGGGGGCCCGCACAAGCGGUGGAGCAUGUGGUUUAAUUCGAUGCACCCCGAAAAACCUUACCUGGUCUUGACAUANUAAGAACUUUCCANANAUGGAUUGGUGCCUUC
This 1023-nucleotide ribosomal RNA is filed under the name uncultured bacterium. RNAcentral describes it as "bacterial SSU rRNA". It matches the Rfam family "Bacterial small subunit ribosomal RNA", at positions 1 to 1021 of the family's 1533-position model. The record is from RNAcentral.